GACGAACGCUGGCGGCGUGCUUAACACAUGCAAGUCGAACGGAAAGGCCCUGCUUGCAGGGUACUCGAGUGGCGAACGGGUGAGUAACACGUGGGUGAUCUGCCCUGCACUUCGGGAUAAGCCUGGGAAACUGGGUCUAAUACCGGAUAGGAGCCAUUUUUAGUGUGAUGGUUGGAAAGUUUUUUCGGUGUAGGAUGAGCUCGCGGCCUAUCAGCUUGUUGGUGGGGUAAUGGCCUACCAAGGCGGCGACGGGUAGCCGGCCUGAGAGGGUGGACGGCCACAUUGGGACUGAGAUACGGCCCAGACUCCUACGGGAGGCAGCAGUGGGGAAUAUUGCACAUUGGGCGCAAGCCUGAUGCAGCGACGCCGCGUGGGGGAUGACGGCCUUCGGGUUGUAAACUCCUUUCGCUAGGGACGAAGCUUUUUGUGACGGUACCUAGAUAAGAAGCACCGGCUAACUACGU
This 464-nucleotide ribosomal RNA is filed under the name uncultured bacterium. RNAcentral describes it as "partial 16S ribosomal RNA". It matches the Rfam family "Bacterial small subunit ribosomal RNA", at positions 28 to 506 of the family's 1533-position model. The record is from RNAcentral.